RNAcentral lists this ribosomal RNA (228 nucleotides) under uncultured bacterium. Its description in RNAcentral is "partial 16S ribosomal RNA". It matches the Rfam family "Bacterial small subunit ribosomal RNA", at positions 568 to 795 of the family's 1533-position model. The record is from RNAcentral.
UGCGCAGGCGGACCUAUUAGUCAGUGGUGAAAUCCCGGGGCUCAACUCCGGAACUGCCACUGAUACUGUAGGUCUUGAGUUUGGUUGAAGUGGGCGGAAUGUAGCAUGUAGCGGUGAAAUGCAUAGAUAUGCUACAGAACACCGAUCGCGAAGGCAGCUCACUAAACCAAAACUGACGCUCAGGCACGAAAGCGUGGGUAGCGAACAGGAUUAGAUACCCUGGUAGUC